Molecule: unclassified non-coding RNA, 411 nt
Filed under: uncultured fungus
Lineage: Eukaryota; Fungi
Description: sequence contains ITS2
Rfam family: 5.8S ribosomal RNA (bases 1-154)
Source: RNAcentral
AACUUUUGGCAACGGAUCUCUUGGCUCUCGCAUCGAUGAAGAACGCAUCGAAAUGCGUUAAGUAAUGUGAAUUGCAGAAUUCAGUGAAUCAUCGAAUCUUUGAACGCACCUUGCGCUCCUUGGUAUUCCGAGGAGCAUGCCUGUUUGAGUGUCAUUAAAUUCUCAACCUUUCCAUUAAUUUGGUUUGGCUUGGAUGUGGGGGUUGCAGGCUUCAUUUGACUAUGAGGUCAGCUCUCCUUAAAUGCAUUAGUGGAACUUUUGUUGACCAUCUAUUGGUGUGAUAUCUAUCUACACUGUGGAUGUGAAGCAGUGUUCAGCUUCUAACCGUCUAUUAUUGACUUUACUUGACCAUUUGACCUCAAAUCAGGUAGGACUACCCGCUGAACUUAAGCAUAUCAAUAAGCGGAGGCU